Molecule: unclassified non-coding RNA, 169 nt
Filed under: soil metagenome
Description: partial internal transcribed spacer 1
Source: RNAcentral
CAGAGUUGCAAAACUCCCAACCAUUGUGAACCUACCUCACCGUUGCUUCGGCGGGUGGCCCGGGGCAACCCAGGCCGCACCGGCCCCUGCUUCGGGGGCCCGGCAAACCCGUCAGAAGACCGAAACCUCUGUAUUACUGGCCUCUCUGAGUAACUUAUACAAUAAGUCA